RNAcentral lists this ribosomal RNA (875 nucleotides) under uncultured Neocallimastigales. RNAcentral's name for it is "partial large subunit ribosomal RNA". The stretch from base 91 to 875 matches the Rfam family "Eukaryotic large subunit ribosomal RNA", at positions 1 to 644 of the family's 3401-position model. Lineage: Eukaryota; Fungi; Neocallimastigomycota; Neocallimastigomycetes; Neocallimastigales. The record is from RNAcentral.
CGCAUCUGUGCAUGCAGCAUAUCAAUAAGCGGAGGAAAAGGCUGCGGAACUGAACGACCGCUACCUACGCUUAGGAUGUUGACACACGCGCGUGCUCGAUCUAUACAUGACUCUGCGUAUAUCAAUAAGCGGAGGAAAAGAAACUAACAAGGAUUCCCUUAGUAACGGCGAGUGAAGCGGGAAGAGCUCAAAUUUGAAAUCUUCAAGGUUUUACCUUGACGAAUUGUAGUUUAAAGAAGUGUUUUCUGUUGAAGUUUUGGUAAAAGUUCUUUGGAAUAGGACAGUCAUAGAGGGUGAGAAUCCCGUAUUUGACCAUUAUUUUCAGCUGUGUGAUACACUUUCAAAGAGUCGGAUUGUUUGGGAAUGCAGUCCAAAAUGGGUGGUAAAUUUCAUCUAAAGCUAAAUAUUGGCGAGAGACCGAUAGCGAACAAGUACCGUGAGGGAAAGAUGAAAAGAACUUUGAAAAGAGAGUUAAACAGUACGUGAAAUUGUCAAAAGGGAAGCGUUUGACACCAGUGUUGUUUUCUCGAAAAUCAAUUAAAAAGAGUUAGAUUUUGUUGUGUAUUGACCUUAACAGCUUGCAUUUCAAUUUUCUUGCUUUUUUUAAUGCACUUUUCGUUUAACAAGUCAACAUCAGUUUCUUUUGUUGUAAAAAGGUCAUUGGAAGGUGGCUUUCUUUUCGGAGAAAGUGUUUAUAGCCUUUGACUCCUGCAAUCGGAGAGACUGAGGUCUGCAGCGUAGAUCCUUCGGGGUUAGAUACAUUUGUGCUAAGUUAUAGCUUUUUAUAGACAACUUGUUGACUAUGAUUAGUCUUGUAGCUUACUCGCUUAUGCUAUUUUACCUACGCUUAGGAUGUUGACACACGCGCGUGCUCG